RNAcentral lists this unclassified non-coding RNA (118 nucleotides) under uncultured fungus. RNAcentral describes it as "sequence contains ITS1". Lineage: Eukaryota; Fungi. The record is from RNAcentral.
CAGAAAACGGCUCCGGCCAUUUUCUAACCCUUGACUACUAUCCUGUUGCUUCGGUGCUGCGGCACCGGCGCCAUUUCAAACUCAGAAACUGUUGUGUCUGAAAACAUUUAAUAAAUCA